This is a long non-coding RNA of Melozone crissalis (California towhee), 321 nucleotides long. RefSeq lists it as uncharacterized. NCBI's taxonomy places the organism in Eukaryota, Metazoa, Chordata, Aves, Passeriformes, Passerellidae. The transcript has 3 exons. The record is from RefSeq and is a predicted model, not a curated record.
CUCCUACCAGGAGGAUUCUGCUCAGGAGGACUCUGACCAGGAGCCAGAAGAUGCAGAACAUUCCCUGAAAUCAGAGGGGCUGUCAUCCACUCCUGGGGCGUCUCAGAGGCCACUGAGGAUGAGGGGACUGAGCUGGUUCUCAGAGAUGGAGCACCCCAAGCUGGGAAUGCAGGAGGUUUUUGAUGUGCGGCCGCUGUGGGGUGAGCUGCAGCCAGGAGAGAGCGAGCAGGUCACCUUCACCUUCUUUGGGCACGCCAACGUGGUGGCGCGUGUCCGGGCGCUGUGCCACGUGCAGGGAGGCCCCAGCUACGAGGUGGUGCU